This 1711-nucleotide long non-coding RNA is filed under the name Malus domestica (apple). RNAcentral describes it as "long non-coding RNA (MDOM_LNC006708)". Lineage: Eukaryota; Viridiplantae; Streptophyta; Magnoliopsida; Rosales; Rosaceae. The record is from RNAcentral.
GCACCGUUUUUCACAGUUCGUGAACAAUGAAAAGACGGUAAUACCCUCGGGUUUUCUUAGCUUUGCCCUCAUGUGUGCAGUCAAUUGCCGGUUUUACCCAUUGAUCCCAAGGGUUCUGUGUCGUUUCUUUCUCUCUUUCCAUUCAUCUCUUUCACUUUACCUUUCAGCUCUCCAUUUUUUGCUUUCCUCAACUGGGUUUUCCUUCGUCGUCGGUGUGCGCUCUGAUUUCUCUCAAUUUAUUCCUUUUCGUUUUGCGAAAUUAUGUCCGGCGAGACAUGAUCUUUGAUUUUUGCAACCAUUGUUGGCCGUUAUUCUCUGUUUUUGGCUGCCAUCCGUAGUUUGGAUCGAUUUCGUCUUUUUCACCGUUUUGUUUCAAGCCUCUCUUUUGAGAGAAUUUUUACGUAUUAAGGUUAGUGAUUUCUAAACUUAAGUUUUGCUUUGCAGUUUGAUUUCAUUUUUGGUUGUCUUGCCCAAAUGUUAGAAGCUUUUAAUUUUUUUGGGUUCAAUUUUAAAUGGGUUGUUGCUUUCGGAGUUUUCGUUUGAUGACAGAGAUGGGGGUUUUUGGGGAAAAACUUUUAAUCCGUGAGUUUUAGUUAAGUUGUGUUGUGGGUCCUGACAAAUGGAUUUUUUGUUGAAAUUGUUUUUCUUCUCAUUUUUGGUUUUUUUUAUUUUUUUUAUUUUUAUUUUUUUGUGCCAUCGGGUUUUUGCAUGUGGGUGUAUAAUCAGGUUUUCUUCUGAAUUUCAGGGGAUUCAGGUUUUUAUUUUUUUUGGAACUUUUGUAUGCAGCUUUGGAAGACAUUUACGCUUAAGGUGAGAAACUUUGGUUGCCCGCUUUUGGGUUUUGUUGUAGAAUUAAGUUUUUUUUUAUUUUUUAAAGAGUUACAUUCGUGGGAAUUCAUUUAUUCUUCUUUUUUUCUGCAUCUGGAAAAUGCAACCUGAUGUGAGUUAUAGUCAUAAGUGCAAACAAGAAAAAGUUAUAGUCUUAAGUGCAAGAAAUAUAAAGCCAAAAGAACCUAGCAACAAUAUCAUACCUUAUUUUUCAAUUUACUUAUAAGGUUUCACAUUUUUGUAAAUAUCAAGAACAAAAACCUAGAACAGCCUCACAAUUUGGUGCACUGACUAGGAAAUUGACAGUUGGGUAUAGGUAUGGGUAGUUAAAAACUAUGAGACAUGAGAAUUAUUGUCAAAUGCAAGGACAGAAGGUCGUGUAUUUGCAAAGUUGAAGCGGCCCAAGGACCGAGUGGGUUUAAGGUUUAAUGCUCAGUAGUUGUUGUGCUUCUGCUGCUUUUUAGUUGUCGAGGAUAUGCAGGGAGAGCAAAUAAAAAGAUUGUAUUCACUGUGUUGACGCAUUAUUGAACAAGAGACCCAAAAGGAAGGACAUAUUCAAUCUCAAAGUCUGUCAGCUUUCGCUUCUUAAUUUUACAACAACAACAAAGCCUUUUCCCACUAAGUGGUUAUUAAUUUUGUUUGCUCUUCGAAAGUUGAAUGCAUGAGUUUUAUAAUUUUUUUGCGAUUAGUUUACCUGAGAUGGGUUUUGGGUAAUCAUGUAUUAUUUUCUGAUUUGGUUACAGGAUGCAAAUCAUUGCUUCUUUAGAAAAGAUUAAGGAAGGUGAGCAAUUUCAGAAAAAAAAAAUGCGAUUAUCAUUUUCUAGAGAUCAUGGCAUGCCCUUCCGUUAUUUUUUGGUAGAGAUAGGUGUAACGGGCAUCUCUU